CAAAUAUCCUGGACUUGGAGUGAUGUCUUUCGAAUAAAUAAAAAUUUCAUUCAGCAACUGUCCGCCAUGUUUACGUGCCGAGAUGGUAGAGGUGGUAAGCUUAGUAACCAAGCUCAGAAAUGCCAUAUUCACCGCCUUGUGCGGUGAAUAUAGCGUCAUAAGGCGAGUUUUUUGACCAAUCAGAUUGUCCAAUUCUUAUAUUCCCUUCUGGAAAUUAAAGUUGUAGUAAAGUUUAAUAUAACAAAUAUAUGGCGAUAUUUUACUUAUUUUAGUGCUAUAAUUCACUUGCAACACAUUGCCAAACUUUGCGUGUCUGUUUGAUCUUGUUUCGGGCUCAAAACUAACCUUUAGUUAUUUUUUUUUUUGUUCAGUUGUACCAUGAAGACCUGAGCUGAAUAUAAAAAUCAUUGAAAGAUUCUCAAACAGCUGUUGUGUGUAUGAUGCAGAACAUGAGACUUCACAAUCGGAAUGUGAGAGUUAUGAAGAUGAAAAUGAAACAGAGACAGAUAAGGAUGCUCAUGCAAGAAAACGAAGAGCAAGUAAGUGAUUUUACUAAUUGAACUCACAGCUCCCAGCUCAUAACUAAAGCUGUGUCUUGAGAACCCGACAAAACCUUUGCAAUUAUGGCAUUAAGUUUUUUAUCGCAGUUUGAGUUGGCCAUAACCUCAUAUUUUCCCUUGUCACUUAAAAUUAAAUAAGGGCGAUCACAUAUAUCUGGUAGAUUUUGGAGAUUGCAUUUAGGGAGAUAUCUACAAUCAACAGA
Orbicella faveolata is the source of this 763-nucleotide long non-coding RNA. Lineage: Eukaryota; Metazoa; Cnidaria; Anthozoa; Scleractinia; Merulinidae. The record is from RefSeq and is a predicted model, not a curated record.